This 250-nucleotide unclassified non-coding RNA is filed under the name plant metagenome. RNAcentral's name for it is "partial contains small subunit ribosomal RNA, internal transcribed spacer 1, and 5.8S ribosomal RNA". The record is from RNAcentral.
GUAGGUGAACCUGCGGAAGGAUCAUUAACACGUGCCUUAACACACGUAUUAACAAACCCACUGAGAAAUAGUUAUAUUAUCCUAGUUUCAGAUGCAGGCAGACUUUGUGAGGAAAUGCUAUUGGUCGCGCUUCCUAACGGUAUGAGUCUACACCAAGACUCACAAAGUCGUUCUAUGGUCCGCCCAGGAGUUUGCACUGAGUGACUAGUUGAUAAGUAAUACCUCGCUUAUUAAGCCUGUAGCAUAGCUU